This 216-nucleotide ribosomal RNA is filed under the name Glomeromycotina sp. Its description in RNAcentral is "partial small subunit ribosomal RNA". The stretch from base 40 to 216 matches the Rfam family "Eukaryotic small subunit ribosomal RNA", at positions 686 to 864 of the family's 1831-position model. The record is from RNAcentral. Lineage: Eukaryota; Fungi; Glomeromycota.
GGGUCAGUAGGUUGGUCGUGCCACCGGUACGUACUGGUCUCACUGAUUCCUCCUUCCUGAAGAACCGUAAUGCCAUUAAUUUGGUGUUGCGGGGAAACAGGACUGUUACUUUGAAAAAAUUAGAGUGUUUAAAGCAAGCUAACGCUUGAAUACAUUAGCAUGGAAUAAUGAAAUAGUACCAUCGAUCCUAUUUUGUUGGUUUCUAGGAUUGACGUA